Molecule: transfer RNA, 71 nt
Filed under: Dipodomys ordii (Ord's kangaroo rat)
Lineage: Eukaryota; Metazoa; Chordata; Mammalia; Rodentia; Heteromyidae
Rfam family: tRNA
About the family: Transfer RNA (tRNA) molecules are approximately 80 nucleotides in length. Their secondary structure includes four short double-helical elements and three loops (D, anti-codon, and T loops).
Source: Rfam by way of RNAcentral
GGCGCUGUGGCUCAAGUGGUAGAGUGCUUGCCUUGCAUGCAUGAAGCCCUGGGUUUGAUUCCUCAGUACCA